GUAGGUGGCAAGCGUUGUCCGGAAUUAUUGGGCGUAAAGCGCGCGCAGGCGGUUCUUUAGGUCUGAUGUGAAAGCCCACGGGCUCAACCGUGGAGGGUCAUUGGAAACUGGAGAACUUGAGUACAGAAGAGGAAAGCGGAAUUCCACGUGUAGCGGUGAAAUGCGUAGAGAUGUGGAGGAACACCAGUGGCGAAGGCGGCUUUCUGGUCUGUAACUGACGCUGAGGCGCGAAAGCGUGGGGAGCAAACAGGAUUAGAUACCCUGGUAGUCCACGCCGUAAACGAUGAGUGCUAAGUGUUAGGGGGUUUCCGCCCCUUAGUGCUGCAGCUAACGCAUUAAGCACUCCGCCUGGGGAGUACGGCCGCAAGGCUG
RNAcentral lists this ribosomal RNA (372 nucleotides) under uncultured organism. RNAcentral describes it as "partial 16S ribosomal RNA". It matches the Rfam family "Bacterial small subunit ribosomal RNA", at positions 527 to 896 of the family's 1533-position model. The record is from RNAcentral.